RNAcentral lists this microRNA precursor (127 nucleotides) under Cricetulus griseus (Chinese hamster). RNAcentral's name for it is "miRNA (ENSCGRG00001003214.1)". The record is from RNAcentral. Lineage: Eukaryota; Metazoa; Chordata; Mammalia; Rodentia; Cricetidae.
GGUUUCUCUGUGUAGCCCUGGCUGUCCUGGCACUCACUCUGGAGACCAGGCUGGCCUUGAACUCAGAGAGAUCCACCUGCCUCUGCCUCCCAAGUGCUGGGAUUCAAGGCAUGCACCACCACUUCCC